AUACAGAGGGUGCGAGCGUUAAUCGGAUUUACUGGGCGUAAAGCGUGCGUAGGUGGUUGGGUAAGUCAGAUGUGAAAGCCCCGGGCUUAACCUGGGAACUGCAUUUGAUACUGCCUAGCUAGAGUUUGGUAGAGGGAAGUGGAAUUCCAGGUGUAGCGGUGAAAUGCGUAGAUAUCUGGAGGAACACCAGUGGCGAAAGCGGCUUCCUGGACCGAAACUGACACUGAGGAGCGAAAGCGUGGGGAGCAAACGGGAUUAGAAGCCCCAGUAGUCC
This 274-nucleotide ribosomal RNA is filed under the name uncultured bacterium. RNAcentral's name for it is "partial 16S ribosomal RNA". It matches the Rfam family "Bacterial small subunit ribosomal RNA", at positions 523 to 796 of the family's 1533-position model. The record is from RNAcentral.